This is a long non-coding RNA of Fundulus heteroclitus (mummichog), 216 nucleotides long. RefSeq lists it as uncharacterized. NCBI's taxonomy places the organism in Eukaryota, Metazoa, Chordata, Actinopteri, Cyprinodontiformes, Fundulidae. The transcript is spliced from 2 exons. The record is from RefSeq and is a predicted model, not a curated record.
AUCCUGCAAAAAACGGGCCUGGAGGGUGAAGUUGAGCCACAACAGGCCAAAAAAAAGUGGGACAACUUGGGAAAAAAAAUACAAAGAAUGCAAAGAUCCAGGGACAGGGCAGGGGGUCAGUGGGAAGCCUACUGCUGCCACCUGGCCAUGGUUUAUCCUCAGGUUCUGUGUUGCUGUUAUUGUUAAAUUAAAUUAUUAAAUUGUUUAUAAAAGUUA